RNAcentral lists this non-coding RNA (29 nucleotides) under Rattus norvegicus (Norway rat). Lineage: Eukaryota; Metazoa; Chordata; Mammalia; Rodentia; Muridae. The record is from RNAcentral.
UAGCUUUGUGAGUGUGACCUUCAUUGAGA